AUAUCCCUACGGGGCGCAGCAGUGGGGAAUAUUGCACAAUGGGGGAAACCCUGAUGCAGCGACGCCGCGUGGAGGAAGAAGGUCUUCGGAUUGUAAACUCCUGUCCUUGGGGACGAUAAUGACGGUACCCAAGGAGGAAGCACCGGCUAACUACGUGCCAGCAGCCGCGGUAAAACGUAGGGUGCAAGCGUUGUCCGGAUUUAUUGGGUUUAAAGGGUGCGUAGGCGGAUUUUUAAGUCAGCGGUAAAAUGUCCGGGCUCAACCCGGGCCGGCCGUUGAAACUGGGGAUCUUGAGUGGGCGAGAA
This 305-nucleotide ribosomal RNA is filed under the name uncultured bacterium. RNAcentral's name for it is "bacterial SSU rRNA". It matches the Rfam family "Bacterial small subunit ribosomal RNA", at positions 333 to 656 of the family's 1533-position model. The record is from RNAcentral.